CCUACGGGAGGCAGCAGUGAGGAAUAUUGGUCAAUGGGCGCGAGCCUGAACCAGCCAAGUCGCGUGAGGGAGGACGGCCCUACGGGUUGUAAACCUCUUUUGCCGGGGAGCAACGGGCGCCACGUGUGGCGUCACUGAGAGUACCCGGAGAAAAAGCAUCGGCUAACUCCGUGCCAGCAGCCGCGGUAAGACGGAGGAUGCGAGCGUUAUCCGGAUUUAUGGGGUUGAAAGGGGGCGUGGGCGGAUCGUUAGGUCAGUGUUAAAAUUGAGGGGCUCAACCCCUUCCCGCCAUUGAAACUGGCGUUCUUGAGUGGAAGAGAGGUAUGCGGAAUUCGUGGUGUAGCGGUGAAAUGCGUAGAUAUCAGGAGGAACACCGGUGGCGAAGGCGGCUUGCUGGACUGCAACUGACGUUGAGGCCCGAAAGUGUGGGGAGCAAACAGGAUUAGAUACCCUUGUAGUC
This 460-nucleotide ribosomal RNA is filed under the name uncultured bacterium. Its description in RNAcentral is "partial 16S ribosomal RNA". It matches the Rfam family "Bacterial small subunit ribosomal RNA", at positions 338 to 795 of the family's 1533-position model. The record is from RNAcentral.